UGCCAGCCGCCGCGGUAAUACGUAAGUCCCAAGCGUUACCCGGAAUUAUUGGGUGUAAAGGGUUCGUAGGUGGGCUUAUAAGUCAGGUAUGAAAGACCGGAGCUCAACUCCGAGUUUGUGCUUGAAACUGUAAGUCUAGAAUCAGGGAGAGGUAAGCGGAAUUCUUAGUGUAGGGGUGCAAUCCGUAGAUACUAAGAAGAACACCAAAAGCGAAGGCAGCUUACUGGAACUGUAUUGACACUGAGGAACGAAAGCGUGGGGAGCGAAGAGGAUUAGAUA
This 279-nucleotide ribosomal RNA is filed under the name uncultured bacterium. RNAcentral's name for it is "partial 16S ribosomal RNA". It matches the Rfam family "Bacterial small subunit ribosomal RNA", at positions 506 to 784 of the family's 1533-position model. The record is from RNAcentral.